UUAAUCUCUUUUUCAUAAAUACAUGGGCACGGAGUCAGUGAAAUAUCUGAGACAGAACUGAUACCAGCAAAAAAAACAGGUGUAAAAACAGUGACUUGGUUUUAAACAUUGUCACAAGUACACAGUCAAGUCAGUUGCAUUAAACACCACUCAGGGUGACUUGGUUUUCAACACUGUCACAAGUACACAGUCAAGUCAGCUGCAUUAAACGCUACUCAGGGUGACUUGGGUUUUCUAACGCUUCUAGCAAUAUUCCCGCAAUAUUGCUGGG
Haliotis rubra (blacklip abalone) is the source of this 271-nucleotide long non-coding RNA. RefSeq lists it as uncharacterized. The record is from RefSeq and is a predicted model, not a curated record. Lineage: Eukaryota; Metazoa; Mollusca; Gastropoda; Lepetellida; Haliotidae. The transcript is spliced from 3 exons.